Non-coding RNA from Maylandia zebra (zebra mbuna), 373 nucleotides. The record is from RefSeq and is a predicted model, not a curated record. NCBI's taxonomy places the organism in Eukaryota, Metazoa, Chordata, Actinopteri, Cichliformes, Cichlidae.
AUGGAGAGUCUCCAUCCAGCUGGAUCACUGUCACAGGGGAACACACCACCACACCUCCACCUACAUCCACACCGACACCAGUCUCCAUUAUUACCUCUCCUCCUGAUUCAUUCUUGCUUCUCUCUGUGUUGUUGCCUGUUGGAUCAGUGUGUGUUGUGGUUCUGCUGGUGUUAGUGGUUCUAUUGGUGAGACAAAGUGUUUGUAGGAAGUCUGCAGUUGAUUUGGAAAAAGCUGAAGAUGGCCUCACAUACAGUGAUCUCAAAGAAUUACAUCACCAACAACAGUCAGUUAAACUACACACAGGGAGUGAUUCAGCUGUAGUCUACACAGCAGUGAGAACUGAAGACAUCAAUUAUGAACAAACAGAAAUGCG